This is a non-coding RNA of Alternaria viburni, 139 nucleotides long. Lineage: Eukaryota; Fungi; Ascomycota; Dothideomycetes; Pleosporales; Pleosporaceae. The record is from the annotation of a RefSeq genome assembly.
GGCCUAAUGGCCCAAUGGCAAGGCGCUUGACUACGAUUCAGUUCGAUAUCAAGAGAUUCCAGGUUGUAAGUAUUCACUCAGAAGAGCCCAAUUCGAAUUCCGACGCUGACCGUUCAAAAAGCGACCCCUGGUUAGGUCA